Molecule: ribosomal RNA, 468 nt
Filed under: uncultured bacterium
Lineage: Bacteria
Description: partial 16S ribosomal RNA
Rfam family: Bacterial small subunit ribosomal RNA
Source: RNAcentral
GACGAACGCUGGCGGCGUGCUUAACACAUGCAAGUCGAACGGAAAGGCCCUGCUUUUGUGGGGUGCUCGAGUGGCGAACGGGUGAGUAACACGUGAGUAACCUGCCCUUGACUUUGGGAUAACUUCAGGAAACUGGGGCUAAUACCGGAUAGGAGCUCCUGCUGCAUGGUGGGGGUUGGAAAGUUUCGGCGGUUGGGGAUGGACUCGCGGCUUAUCAGCUUGUUGGUGGGGUAGUGGCUUACCAAGGCUUUGACGGGUAGCCGGCCUGAGAGGGUGACCGGCCACAUUGGGACCGAGAUACGGCCCAGACUCCUACGGGAGGCAGCAGUGGGGAAUAUUGCACAAUGGGCGGAAGCCUGAUGCAGCAACGCCGCGUGCGGGAUGACGGCCUUCGGGUUGUAAACCGCUUUCACCUGUGACGAAGCGUGAGUGACGGUAAUGGGUAAAGAAGCACCGGCUAACUACGUG